This 279-nucleotide ribosomal RNA is filed under the name uncultured bacterium. Its description in RNAcentral is "partial 16S ribosomal RNA". It matches the Rfam family "Bacterial small subunit ribosomal RNA", at positions 506 to 784 of the family's 1533-position model. The record is from RNAcentral.
UGCCAGCAGCCGCGGUAAUACGGGAGCGGCAAGCGUUAUCCGGAAUUAUUGGGCGUAAGGCGCGCGUAGGUGGUUUGAUAAGCUAGCUGUGAAAGCCCCGGGCUCAACCUGGGAACUGCAGUUAGAACUGUCUGACUAGAGUACAGUAGAGGGUGGCGGAAUUUCCUGUGUAGCGGUGAAAUGCGUAGAUAUAGGAAGGAACAUCAGUGGCGAAGGCGGCCACCUGGACUGAUACUGACACUGAGGUGCGAAAGCGUGGGGAGCAAACAGGAUUAGAUA